This 484-nucleotide ribosomal RNA is filed under the name uncultured bacterium. RNAcentral's name for it is "partial 16S ribosomal RNA". It matches the Rfam family "Bacterial small subunit ribosomal RNA", at positions 30 to 507 of the family's 1533-position model. The record is from RNAcentral.
AUUGAACGCUGGCGGCAGGCCUAACACAUGCAAGUCGAGCGGAUGAAGGGAGCUUGCUCCUGGAUUCAGCGGCGGACGGGUGAGUAAUGCCUAGGAAUCUGCCUGGUCGUGGGGGAUAACGUCCGGAAACGGGCGCUAAUACCGCAUACGUCCUGAGGGAGAAAGUGGGGGAUCUUCGGACCUCACGCUAUCAGAUGAGCCUAGGUCGGAUUAGCUAGUUGGUGGGGUAAAGGCCUACCAAGGCGACGCUCCGUAACUGGUCUGAGAGGAUGAUCAGUCACACUGGAACGGAGGCACGGUCCGGAAUCCUACGGGAGGGAGCAGUGGGGGAUAUUGGAGGAAGGGAGAAAGGCGGAUUCAGGGAUGCCGGGUGUGUGAAGGAGGUCUUCGGACUGUAAAGGAGUUUAAGUUGGGAGGAAGGGAAGUAAGUUAAUACCUUGCUGUUUUGACGUUACCAACAGAAUAAGCACCGGCUAACUUCGUG